AAUAACGCAAUUCUUAAAUAUGUAUUGUAGUGGAAACAAAUGCUAGCAAUGCAUCAGUAAGGAAACGACCAAAAGUAGACAAAAUACCUACUACGUCUAAGAGAAAAAAAUUUGACAGUACAGCACCCUCCAUGGAAAUUACCUCUACUAUUAAAGAAUCAAUCAACAUUCCCCAGGCUGCUGAAGAAGCAAUUUUUGAUCCACUUCCAGAUUCAAUCAAGGAAAAUCUUGCUGUUGUCAUGGAAGAUACGACAGUUGCAUCACCUUCUAUGGAAGCUACCUCUACUAUUCAAGAAUCAAUGGACACUCACCAGGCUGCUGAAGAAGCAAUUUUUGAUCCACUUCCUGAUGUAAUGAACGAAAAUGUUGCUGUUGUCAUUGAAGAUUCGACAGUUACAUCACCUUCUAUGGAAGCAAGCUCUACUAAUUUCAAGUCUAAUUUUGUGACAUUUCAGUCACUAGUAACUUCAUCAAUGGUACCAAAGAAUUGGACAUGGUAUUUUGAUCAAAUUAAACAAACGAUUUUUUGCAUUUCGAUGGAUCAACUACCAAAUGAAAAUUAUAAUGUGAAAAGUGUACAUUUUCAAAACAAGAAGUAGUGUAUUAUGUCAACGGAACAAUAAACAAUUUACACAACCAAA
Molecule: long non-coding RNA, 641 nt
Organism: Daphnia pulicaria
Lineage: Eukaryota; Metazoa; Arthropoda; Branchiopoda; Diplostraca; Daphniidae
Exons: 2
Source: RefSeq, a predicted model, not a curated record